AUCUGAUUGCUUUAUAAUCAGUAAGGCCUGCUCAAUGAACUUUAAAUAGCCGCGAUUUACGUGCUAAGGUAGCAUAAUCAAUUGCCUUUUAAUUGGAGGCUAGAAUGAAAGGUUUUACAUAUAAAAUACUUUAUUAAUUUUAUUUCUUUAAACUAAUCUAUAAAUAAAAAAGCUUAUAUUACUAAGAAGGACGACAAGACCCUGUCGAGCUUAACUUUAGUUUCACUGGGGAGGUGAAAAAACUAUUUCUUUUUUUCUUCUUUAAAAGAAAAAUAGAAGAAAGAACUUUGAACUAGCUACCGCAGGGAUAACAGCACAAUUAAUUUUAGGAGAUCUUAUCUUAAAAUUAGUUUAUGACCUCGAUGUUGAAUUAAUCUACCUUUAGGAGAAGAAGCUUAAAAGGAAAGUCUGUUCGACUUUUAAAAUUUU
This 429-nucleotide ribosomal RNA is filed under the name Conothele sp. MYG569. RNAcentral describes it as "partial 16S ribosomal RNA". It matches the Rfam family "Bacterial large subunit ribosomal RNA", at positions 1831 to 2597 of the family's 2925-position model. Lineage: Eukaryota; Metazoa; Arthropoda; Arachnida; Araneae; Ctenizidae. The record is from RNAcentral.